GCCUGGCAGGGGCAGGAGGGGGUGCACGGCUCCCCGGGUGGGUGUGCUCGUGUGCGUCUAUGCUCUCUGUCCUCAGCACACGGCCGUGUGCGCUGCCCCUGCGGCAGAGCCACAGAGCUCCCACACACACCCGCGUAAAGAGGUUUGUAUUUCUCUCGGGAACGGCUGGGGCAGGGGUGUGGCCCAGCAGAUGGCUGGCAGGUUACAGGUGUGCCUGGCUGGAAAGGCAGGCGGCCUGGCGUCCUGAUUGGCGGGCCGUGAGUCACGGCGGUUGGGUUCCUGGAGCGGGCUCGCUGGCUGUCAUGGAGUUGGGGUCAUGCCCUGUCUUAUCUCCAGCACCUCCUCUGCCCAGACGGACCAUGCUCCCCACCCGUGUCGGCGGUGACGCACGGAGGAGAGCCCAACAGUCCCAGAGGAACACAGAGAGGCCUGAGCCGGAGAGUGCCCGCCCAAGGUCACCAGGUGGAGGCUGGCAGCGAGCAGGAGCAGACACAGGGACAUCCACGCCACGACACCUGCCAGAGCUCUGCCCGCCUGACCAUGCAGACAGCUGCAGCCCCCAGCCCUCCACAAGGGUCCCGGGACCACUCACUUGGCCGGGGGACGGCAAGGAGCUCGCACGGCCACCUCCACCCAGGGCUGCAACUGCCGAGAAGCUCCAAGGUCCCAACAAACCUCCACAAGCUUCCCACAGCUUCCUGUCCCGUCUGCCGGCCUGAGCAGACAGGACUCUGGAGCCUGGGUGGGGGCAGCUGAGCUGGGAGGCCCCGGCCAGCUCCCUGUGGCUGCCAGGCUGCCUGCAGUCCCCCAGACCUGGCUGGGGCCCACCUGGCAGGCACAGAGCCUGGGCUGCACGCCAGGGGGAAUUUUCCACCUGCCUGGCCCUGCCGUCUGCUCUGUGGUCUGGAGCCGAGCGUGUCUCCAGCAUACACACCCGAAGGGCUGAUGCUCACCGAAUCCCAUGACAGCCGACAGUGUCAGAGGAGCCGUUGGUUCUGGGUCAUGAGGGUCCCCAGGUCACCCAGUGAGCCCCACCUUGAACAGACUGAGGCCUAAGAGAGCAAUGACACCAACAAGGUCACAGGGAGAGGCGCCCUGGGCCCAGAC
Bos taurus (domestic cattle) is the source of this 1107-nucleotide long non-coding RNA. NCBI's taxonomy places the organism in Eukaryota, Metazoa, Chordata, Mammalia, Artiodactyla, Bovidae. The record is from Ensembl.